GAUGAAGAACGUAGCGAAAUGGGAUAACUAAUGUGAAUUGCAGAAUUCCGUGAAUCAUCGAGUCUUUGAACGCACAUUGCGCCCCCUGGUAUUCCGGGGGGCAUGCCUGUCCGAGCGUCAUUGCUGCCCAUCAAGCACGGCUUGUGUGUUGGGUCCUCGUCCCCCCCGGGGGACGUGCCCGAAAGGCAGCGGCGGCACCGCGUCCGGUCCUCGAGCGUAUGGGGCUUUGUCACCCGCUCUGCAGGCCCGGCCGGCGCUGGCCGACGCGAAAGCAACCAUUUUUUCUCCAGGUUGACCUCGGAUCAGGGAGGGAUACCCGCUGAACUUAAGCAUAUCAAUAAGCGGAGGA
Molecule: unclassified non-coding RNA, 349 nt
Filed under: soil metagenome
Description: partial contains 5.8S ribosomal RNA, internal transcribed spacer 2, and large subunit ribosomal RNA
Rfam family: 5.8S ribosomal RNA (bases 1-120)
Source: RNAcentral